AGGUGGAGCAUGUGGUUUAAUUCGAAGAUACACGAGGAACCUUACCUGGCCUUGACAUGGUAGGAACCUUAAGAGAUUAGGGGGUGCUAGCUUGCUAGAACCUACACACAGGUGCUGCACGGCUGUCGUCAGCUCGUGUCGUGAGAUGUUGGGUUAAGUCCCGCAACGAGCGCAACCCUCGUCCUUAGUUGCUAACAGUUCGGCUGAGCACUCUAGGGAGACUGCCUUCGCAAGGAGGAGGAAGGUGAGGACGACGUCAAGUCAUCAUGGCCCUUACGGCCAGGGCUACACACGUGCUACAAUGGGGCGUACAGAGAGCUGCGAUACCGCGAGGUGGAGCCAAUCUCUUAAAGCGUCUCUCAGUUCGGAUUGUUCUCUGCAACUCGAGAACAUGAAGCUGGAAUCACUAGUAAUCGCAGAUCAGCUAUGCUGCGGUGAAUACGUUCCCGGGUCUU
Molecule: ribosomal RNA, 455 nt
Filed under: uncultured Sulfuricurvum sp.
Lineage: Bacteria; Pseudomonadati; Campylobacterota; Epsilonproteobacteria; Campylobacterales; Sulfurimonadaceae
Description: bacterial SSU rRNA
Rfam family: Bacterial small subunit ribosomal RNA
Source: RNAcentral